Long non-coding RNA from Oncorhynchus tshawytscha (Chinook salmon), 97 nucleotides. RefSeq lists it as uncharacterized. The transcript has 2 exons. NCBI's taxonomy places the organism in Eukaryota, Metazoa, Chordata, Actinopteri, Salmoniformes, Salmonidae. The record is from RefSeq and is a predicted model, not a curated record.
AUCCCAAAAUAAAUGACGCUCACAGGGGUGGAUCCCAAAAUAAAUGACGUUCACAGGGGUGGAUCCCAAAAUAAAUGACGUUCACAGGGGUGGAUCC